ACGGAGGGUGCGAGCGUUUAUCGGAAUUACUGGGCGUAAAGCGUGCGUAGGCGGAUGCUUGAGUCGGAUGUGAAAGCCCCGGGCUCAACCUGGGAAUGGCAUUCGAUACUGGGCAUCUAGAGUGUGGUAGAGGGGGGUAGAAUUCCUGGUGUAGCGGUGAAAUGCGUAGAUAUCAGGAGGAAUACCGGUGGCGAAGGCGACCCCCUGGACCAACACUGACGCUGAGGUACGAAAGCGUGGGUAGCAAACAGGAUUAGAUACCCUGGUAGUCCACGCCGUAAACGAUGUCAACUAGUCGUCGGGGACUUCGGUCUUUGGUGGCGCAGCUAACGCGUGAAGUUGACCGCCUGGGGAGUACGGCCGCAAGGUUA
RNAcentral lists this ribosomal RNA (371 nucleotides) under uncultured bacterium. RNAcentral describes it as "bacterial SSU rRNA". It matches the Rfam family "Bacterial small subunit ribosomal RNA", at positions 525 to 896 of the family's 1533-position model. The record is from RNAcentral.